Molecule: transfer RNA, 76 nt
Filed under: Planctomycetota bacterium
Lineage: Bacteria; Pseudomonadati; Planctomycetota
Description: Planctomycetes bacterium (bioreactor metagenome) tRNA-Phe
Rfam family: tRNA
About the family: Transfer RNA (tRNA) molecules are approximately 80 nucleotides in length. Their secondary structure includes four short double-helical elements and three loops (D, anti-codon, and T loops).
Source: RNAcentral
GGGUAGAUAGCUCAGUUGGUAGAGCACAGCACUGAAAAUGCUGGGGUCGCCGGUUCAACUCCGGCUCUGCCCACCA